UAAGCAUAUCAAUAAGCGGAGGAAAAGAAACCAACAGGGAUUGCCUCAGUAACGGCGAGUGAAGCGGCAACAGCUCAAAUUUGAAAUCUGGCCCCAGGCCCGAGUUGUAAUUUGCAGAGGAUGCUUUUGGCGCGGUGCCUUCCGAGUUCCCUGGAACGGGACGCCAUAGAGGGUGAGAGCCCRGUACGGUUGGACACCAAGCCUUUGUAAAGCUCCUUCGACGAGUCGAGUAGUUUGGGAAUGCUGCUCUAAAUGGGAGGUAUAUUUCUUCUAAAGCUAAAUAUAGGCCAGAGACCGAUAGCGCACAAGUAGAGUGAUCGAAAGAUGAAAAGCACUUUGAAAAGAGGGUUAAACAGCACGUGAAAUUGUUAAAAGGGAAGCGCUUGUGACCAGACUUGCGUCCGGUGAAUCACCCAGCUCUCGCGGCUGGGGCACUUUGCCGGCACAGGCCAGCAUCAGCUCGCUGUCGGGGACAAAAGCUUCGGGAACGUAGCUCUCUUCGGGGAGUGUUAUAGCCCGUUGCAUAAUACCCUUCGGUGGGCUGAGGUACGCGCUCCGCAAGGAUGCUGGCGUAAUGGUCAUCAGCGACCCGUCUUGAAACACGGACCAAGGAGUCAACCUUAUGUGCGAGUGUUUGGGUGUUAAACCCCUACGCGUAAUGAAAGUGAACGCAGGUGAGAGCUUCGGCGCAUCAUCGACCGAUCCUGAUGUUCUCGGAUGGAUUUGAGUAAGAGCAUAUAGGGUUGGACCCGAAAGAAGGUGAACUAUGCGUGUAUAGGGUGAAGCCAGAGGAAACUCUGGUGGAGGCUCGCAGCGGUUCUGACGUGCAAAUCGAUCGUCAAAUAUGCGCAUGGGGGCGAAAGACUAAUCGAA
Molecule: ribosomal RNA, 873 nt
Filed under: Colletotrichum lineola
Lineage: Eukaryota; Fungi; Ascomycota; Sordariomycetes; Glomerellales; Glomerellaceae
Description: LSU rRNA
Rfam family: Eukaryotic large subunit ribosomal RNA
Source: RNAcentral